This 72-nucleotide transfer RNA is filed under the name Camelus bactrianus (Bactrian camel). It matches the Rfam family "tRNA". From Rfam's summary of the family: Transfer RNA (tRNA) molecules are approximately 80 nucleotides in length. Their secondary structure includes four short double-helical elements and three loops (D, anti-codon, and T loops). The record is from Rfam by way of RNAcentral. Lineage: Eukaryota; Metazoa; Chordata; Mammalia; Artiodactyla; Camelidae. RNAcentral also lists the same sequence under 2 other names.
GGAGUGUACAGCUCAGUGGUAGAGGGUGUGCUUAGCAUGCACGAGGUCCUGGGUUCAAUCCCAGUAGCUCCA